RNAcentral lists this ribosomal RNA (465 nucleotides) under uncultured bacterium. Its description in RNAcentral is "partial 16S ribosomal RNA". It matches the Rfam family "Bacterial small subunit ribosomal RNA", at positions 28 to 507 of the family's 1533-position model. The record is from RNAcentral.
GACGAACGCUGGCGGCGUGCUUAACACAUGCAAGUCGAACGGAAAGGCCCCCUUGUGGGGUACUCGAGUGGCGAACGGGUGAGUAACACAUGAGUAACCUACCCUUGACUUUGGGAUAACUUCAGGAAACUGGGGCUAAUACCGGAUAGGAGCUCCUGCUGCAUGGUGGGGGUUGGAAAGUUUCGGCGGUUGGGGAUGGACUCGCGGCUUAUCAGCUUGUUGGUGGGGUAGUGGCUCACCAAGGCUUUGACGGGUAGCCGGCCUGAGAGGGUGACCGGCCACAUUGGGACUGAGAUACGGCCCAGACUCCUACGGGAGGCAGCAGUGGGGAAUAUUGCACAAUGGGCGGAAGCCUGAUGCAGCAACGCCGCGUGCGGGAUGACGGCCUUCGGGUUGUAAACCGCUUUCGCCUGUGACGAAGCGUGAGUGACGGUAAUGGGUAAAGAAGCACCGGCUAACUACGUG